Molecule: ribosomal RNA, 403 nt
Filed under: Carnobacterium sp. AZTITEMP57
Lineage: Bacteria; Bacillati; Bacillota; Bacilli; Lactobacillales; Carnobacteriaceae
Description: bacterial SSU rRNA
Rfam family: Bacterial small subunit ribosomal RNA
Source: RNAcentral
UGGUGGAGCAUGUGGUUUAAUUCGAAGCAACGCGAAGAACCUUACCAGGUCUUGACAUCCUUUGACCACUCGAGAGAUCGAGCUUUCCCUUCGGGGACAAAGUGACAGGUGGUGCAUGGUUGUCGUCAGCUCGUGUCGUGAGAUGUUGGGUUAAGUCCCGCAACGAGCGCAACCCUUAUUACUAGUUGCCAGCAUUCAGUUGGGCACUCUAGUGAGACUGCCGGUGACAAACCGGAGGAAGGUGGGGAUGACGUCAAAUCAUCAUGCCCCUUAUGACCUGGGCUACACACGUGCUACAAUGGAUGGUACAACGAGUCGCGAAGUCGUGAGGCCAAGCUAAUCUCUUAAAGCCAUUCUCAGUUCGGAUUGUAGGCUGCAACUCGCCUACNGAAGCCNNAAUCGC